CGGCGGACGGCUAAGUAACGCGUGGGAACAUGCCCCAAAGUGAGGAAUAACUGCCCGAAAGGGUAGCUAAUGCCGCAUAUGAUCUUCGGAUUAAAGGAUUUAUCCGCUUUGGGAGUGGCCCGCGUUCGAUUAGGUAGUUGGUGAGGUAAUGGCUCACCAAGCCUACGAUCGAUAACUGGUCUGAGAGGAUGAUCAGUCAGACUGGAACUGAGACACGGUCCAG
Molecule: ribosomal RNA, 223 nt
Filed under: uncultured bacterium
Lineage: Bacteria
Description: partial 16S ribosomal RNA
Rfam family: Bacterial small subunit ribosomal RNA
Source: RNAcentral